UGGGGAAUUUUGCACAAUGGGGGAAACCCUGAUGCAGCGACGCCGCGUGAUUUAGAAGGCCUUCGGGUUGUAAAAAUCUUUUCUAUGGGAAGAAAAUGACAGUACCAUAGGAAUAAGGACCGGCUAAAUACGUGCCAGCAGCCGCGGUAAUACGUAUGGGGCGAGCGUUGUCCGGAAUUAUUGGGCGUAAAGGGUACGUAGGCGGUCUAUUAAGUCAGGUGUGAAAGCGUGAGGCUUAACCUCAUUAAGCACUUGAAACUGAUAGACUUGAGUGAAGGAGAGGAAAGUGGAAUUCCUAGUGUAGCGGUGAAAUGCGUAGAUAUUAGGAGGAAUACCGGUGGCGAAGGCGACUUUCUGGACUUUUACUGACGCUCAGGUACGAAAGCGUGGGGAGCAAACAGG
RNAcentral lists this ribosomal RNA (402 nucleotides) under Verrucomicrobiota bacterium. RNAcentral describes it as "Verrucomicrobia bacterium partial 16S ribosomal RNA". It matches the Rfam family "Bacterial small subunit ribosomal RNA", at positions 355 to 776 of the family's 1533-position model. The record is from RNAcentral. Lineage: Bacteria; Pseudomonadati; Verrucomicrobiota.